RNAcentral lists this ribosomal RNA (904 nucleotides) under Pediococcus pentosaceus. Its description in RNAcentral is "bacterial SSU rRNA". It matches the Rfam family "Bacterial small subunit ribosomal RNA", at positions 50 to 913 of the family's 1533-position model. Lineage: Bacteria; Bacillati; Bacillota; Bacilli; Lactobacillales; Lactobacillaceae. The record is from RNAcentral.
UAUACAUGCAGUCGAACGAACUUCCGUUAAUUGAUUAUGACGUACUUGUACUGAUUGAGAUUUUAACACGAAGUGAGUGGCGAACGGGUGAGUAACACGUGGGUAACCUGCCCAGAAGUAGGGGAUAACACCUGGAAACAGAUGCUAAUACCGUAUAACAGAGAAAACCGCAUGGUUUUCUUUUAAAAGAUGGCUCUGCUAUCACUUUUGGAUGGACCCGCGGCGUAUUAGCUAGUUGGUGAGGUAAAGGCUCACCAAGGCAGUGAUACGUAGCCGACCUGAGAGGGUAAUCGGCCACAUUGGGACUGAGACACGGCCCAGACUCCUACGGGAGGCAGCAGUAGGGAAUCUUCCACAAUGGACGCAAGUCUGAUGGAGCAACGCCGCGUGAGUGAAGAAGGGUUUCGGCUCGUAAAGCUCUGUUGUUAAAGAAGAACGUGGGUAAGAGUAACUGUUUACCCAGUGACGGUAUUUAACCAGAAAGCCACGGCUAACUACGUGCCAGCAGCCGCGGUAAUACGUAGGUGGCAAGCGUUAUCCGGAUUUAUUGGGCGUAAAGCGAGCGCAGGCGGUCUUUUAAGUCUAAUGUGAAAGCCUUCGGCUCAACCGAAGAAGUGCAUUGGAAACUGGGAGACUUGAGUGCAGAAGAGGACAGUGGAACUCCAUGUGUAGCGGUGAAAUGCGUAGAUAUAUGGAAGAACACCAGUGGCGAAGGCGGCUGUCUGGUCUGCAACUGACGCUGAGGCUCGAAAGCAUGGGUAGCGAACAGGAUUAGAUACUCUGGUAGUCCAUGCCGUAAACGAUGAUUACUAAGUGUUGGAGGGUUUCCGCCCUUCAGUGCUGCAGCUAACGCAUUAAGUAAUCCGCCUGGGGAGUACGACGCAAGNGAAACUCAAAAGAUUGA